UACGUAGGUGGCAAGCGUUGUCCGGAUUUACUGGGCGUAAAGAGCGCGCAGGCGGCUGGUCAAGUCCGAUGUGAAAUCUCCCGGCUCAACUGGGAAACUGCAUCGGAAACUGAUCGGCUUGAAGGUGGGAGAGGGUAGUGGAAUUCCCGGUGUAGUGGUGAAAUGCGUAGAUAUCGGGAGGAACACCAGUGGCGAAGGCGACUACCUGGCCCAUUCUUGACGCUGAGGCGCGAAAGCUAGGGGAGCGAACGGGAUUAGAUAACCCGAGUAGUCC
RNAcentral lists this ribosomal RNA (274 nucleotides) under uncultured prokaryote. Its description in RNAcentral is "partial 16S ribosomal RNA". It matches the Rfam family "Bacterial small subunit ribosomal RNA", at positions 524 to 796 of the family's 1533-position model. The record is from RNAcentral.